CCUACGGGGUGCUGCAGUGAGGAAUAUUGGUCAAUGGGCUUACGCCUGAACCAGCCAAGUCGCGUGAGGGAAGACUGCCCUAUGGGUUGUAAACCUCUUUUGUCAGGGAGCAAUUGGCGCUACGUGUAGCGUUAUCGAGAGUACCUGAAGAAAAAGCAUCGACUAACUCCGUGCCAGCAGCCGCGGUAAUACGGAGGAUGCGAGCGUUAUCCGGAUUUAUUGGGUUUAAAGGGUGCGUAGGCGGACUGGAAAGUCAGCGGUAAAAUCGAGAGGCUCAACCUCUUUCCGCCGUUGAAACUGUCGGUCUUGAGUGGGCGAGAAGUAUGCGGAAUGCAUGGUGUAGCGGUGAAAUGCAUAGAUAUCACGCAGAACUCCGAUUGCGAAGGCAGCAUACCGGCGCCCGACUGACGCUGAGGCACGAAAGCGUGGGUAUCGAACAGGAUUAGAUACCCGGGUAGUC
RNAcentral lists this ribosomal RNA (460 nucleotides) under uncultured bacterium. Its description in RNAcentral is "partial 16S ribosomal RNA". It matches the Rfam family "Bacterial small subunit ribosomal RNA", at positions 338 to 795 of the family's 1533-position model. The record is from RNAcentral.